GUUGAGGGCCGAGGGGCAGGAAGAAGGAUUUUGCCGGGGGAGACCGAAACACCGGAGAGUUACAGGCCCAAAAACUGCGACUGGCAUACACAAGGAGCUCUCAUUAUGGUGGGUCUCUGCCCAAUGUUAACCAGAUUGGCUCUGGCCUGGCCGAGUUCCAGAGCCCCCUCCACUCACCUUUGGAUUCAUCUCGGAGCACUCGGCACCAUGGGCUGGUGGAACGGGUGCAGCGAGAUCCUCGAAGAAUGGUGUCCCCACUUCGCCGAUACACCCGCCACAUUGACAGCUCUCCCUAUAGUCCUGCCUACUUAUCUCCUCCCCCAGAGUCU
RNAcentral lists this long non-coding RNA (329 nucleotides) under Homo sapiens (human). RNAcentral's name for it is "non-protein coding lnc-SLC39A1-1:1". The record is from RNAcentral. Lineage: Eukaryota; Metazoa; Chordata; Mammalia; Primates; Hominidae.